UCUCUGAGCCAUGAUUGCCCAGCCGAAGUAUCUCUAACUUUCCUGCCAGCUCUAACAUCCUAUGAGUCUGUGUUUAUUAUCCCUGCUCUUAAAGCCUGUAACCUUAGCCAGGCUAAAUCUCCCUGUUUGGGAGAGAGUUAUUCCAGGACUGAGACUUGGGGUGCCCAGUGCCGAGAGCCCAGCUAGAGAUGUGGGCCGUGGAGACCCUGUGAAUCGCUGAAGCUUAGAGCCCGCUCCAGCCGGGUGCUGCUCUCCAAGGUGCUGCUACCUUACGCGCCGUCUCGUACUUGUCCUGCACAUUCACUCCCGAAGACCAGUGGCUUGGGAAGGUGGGCGGUUUAUUGUCCCCAUUAUCUCCUCCAGCCCAUCCUCAUUGGUCAGUAUGGAUAAUUGACAUUUUUCUCAGCCUCAAGUAAAUCGCUAUGCAAACAGAGCUUCAAGCUCCCCUACUUUCCAACCAGAUCACCAGCCCUUGACCCUCCUCUCAAACUUCUGGAGCUGCCUCCCCAGUGAUAGAGGGCCAGACUCCAUGGGCACCAGGACUUGGGAAGGGGAGAACAGGAGAGUUCUUUUCUUCACCUCAGUCCUGCUGGGCUAACAUUUGUGAUUGUCACUAGCGUUCACUCUAAUGUAUCUCUGGCUCUAGAAUUUCAAGUUCUACUUAGUGACUCCUAUCUCAAGGUAGCUUCCCAGUGUGGUCAAGGAAGAGGUUUGAGCUUCAGAGCCCAGUUGCAAGGUUCUUCUCUGAGCUGAACAAUGGCUGUAGCUGUAGACCAACAAAUUCAGACUCCUCAAGUGCAAGAAGAACUUUGACUCGUGAAGCUGGAAGAGAAUUCCCACUGGGAGCAGGAAAUUUCCCUUCAAGGGAGUGACCCUGGACCAGACACCUCCUGCCAGCGUUUUUGGCAUUUCUGCUAUCAAGAAACAUCCAGACCCCAGGAGGCCCUCAUCCAACUCCGGAAGCUCUGUCAUCAGUGGCUGAGACCAGAGAAGUGUACAAAAGAGCAGAUCCUGGAGUUGCUCGUGCUGGAACAGUUCCUGACUGUCCUUCCUCAGGAGAUCCAGAUCUGGGUUAGAUAGAAGCAUCCAGAGAGUGGGAAGGAGGCCGUGGCUCUGGUGGAAGACUUGCAGAAAGAACCUGGAAGAUGGGGGCUCCAGUCCUUGAACGGGGGCAGGAGGUAUACUCAGAGGAGAAGGAAGCUCCAGGAUCAGCACUGGGUUCCCUGAGGAGCCGUCUGAAGCAAGCACGGACAGGACCCACGUGUCUGUUACCGGCGAUGGUGAAGAACUCACAGCCAGAACCAGAGCCGUUGACUCACAGCCCCAUGGUAGAACUCUGAUCCUUCCACAAGAGCGCCCUGCCUGAUCCUCCGGCUCUGGGUCUUUCCGUGGAGGAAAGCGGUGGUGACCAGGGGAUGAUGAGCCCCUCCCAGGAGUUGAUGACAUUCAGUGAUGUGGCUAUGUAUGUCUCCCAGGAGGCACGGAGGCAGCCAGAACCUGGGGGGAGGAAACACGUGGAAAGAAGUUGGGAGAAAUCUGCAAGUGGGGCCUCGAUGGUGCCAGCUCCUGCAGGGAGCAGGAGAAAACCCCACAGAGCCCAGAUCUUCAGCGCCCCAGAGAGGAGGAGAGCGCCAGGGACUCCGCAGCAGGUGGGGGAAGAGUCCAGCCUGGCCACUUGCCCGUCCCAAGAAAAGCCAAGACCUGGGAGGAGCUGGAGUGGCAGGGCCUGGAGGAUGAGAAGGUGGCAGCGGCGCACUAGGGCUUUGAGGAAACUUAAGAUUUUGGGGGGAAUUCUCAGUGAGUUCUGGACCCGUGAGAAAUUGCGCACCUGCCACCGAGCCGCCAGGUGUACCGGCUGGUGGCUGAUCGGCUGCGCGAGAGCAGCUUCCCGCGGACCCUGGAACAGUGUCGCGACUGCUUCAGAAACCUCCAGACCCACUACCGCAAAGCCAGGAGCAGCCGGGCGCCGGGCACCUGCCCCUUCUACCAGGAGAUGGACGCCCUGAUGGGCCCCUGGACCCUUGCCGGCACCUUUGAUGCCUUAGAGGUGGCAGGAGGCCUUCUGCGGGACAGAGGGGACCCCAAAGAGAACCAGAGGCUGUGCUGGCAGCUGUGACAGGAGAUGGUAGCGAACUGGUGGCUGAGCCCCAAGAGGAGCCCGGGAGCCUCGGCCCCCCGGCUUUCAGGGGGAGUUCUGGUGGUAAGCGCCCCACCCCCAGUGCCCCCCAGAGCAGUGGGAGAGGGCAAGUCUCGCAGGAAAGCAUUAGGGACUGUGAAGCAGGAGAGACGCUUAUUGUCUGGCCCUCUGGUGUGGCCUCGUCUGGAGGAAAAUUGUUGAGUCCUUUACGGAACACAGAUACCACUAGAAUCAGCCCUCCGCUGAAGCCGUCCCACGGGCUCACUCACAAAGACUCCUGGGAGGGUCUUGCCCUGCUCUACAGCAAAGGGCUCUCCCUGUCUGCUCUUAGUAAUGGCAUUAUAGAAACAAUAUUUAGUGGCAGUUGUAGGAGGAAAGAGAGGUUGGAGUGACUUCCAGUUCCACUUGUUCAUUUCCAGCUAAAGUACCCCAUCCGUGUGAACUCUGCGCAGAUUAUAGACAGCAGCCUGCCAACUUAAGACUUGUCUGUUCUUGCGCAAACUGGUUACACACCCUAAGCCUCCGCCUUCUCAUCUGUAAGAUGGACAUAAUGACAGUAUUUGCCUCACUGGGCGGUUUCGGGGAUCCUGGCCCGUGGCUAGCACUCAGGAAAUGCUUGUUUUCAUUAUCGUGAGCAUUGUAAUUAUUGUUAACAUAGAGGAAAACCUUGCCCUGCACUCUUCACUUAAGGGGGCAUAUUUCCUGAGUCAUUAACUACACGUUUUCUUCUGAAAACUAGACUUUCUGGGAGGUGCUUCUGUGCUCAUCUCAGCUACCACUUCCCGAUAGGAGAACAGAAAGCAGACUAUGUAGGAACUCCAUGUCCCUUCUUGCUUUUCCUUGAGCAGGACUUCCGGUUCCCCAGCCAGAUGGGGUCUCGAGGUUGGAGAGAAGUGAAGAGCUUUGGAAUGACGAUCUCUGGGACUUUUGGGAAACUUCCUGUUCAGGUGGGAAAUGAGUGAAAGCUAGUAUGGCGCCAACCGAGAAGUCAGACCCAGAAUUCUGAACGCGGACAAGGCAGCACCAGGCUGGGAGAGCACCCACUCCCUGGGCCUUCCCGGCUUAUUACUCUGAGGUGCUGAAACCACAGGCGGUGGGAGAAGAACAGUAAAGGAGGUGGCACCAGGAAAGCCUGCUCCCCUUCGUUACCUUGGCUCAUAGAUGUAAACAGAUUAUUAGUGUUUAUGAUGUCCCUCUUAAAUUUCUUUUUAAAAAAUGCCCCCUUUAUUUAUUUUUUCUAGUAUACUCUACCUGCAGUGUGCGGCUCGAACUCAUGACUAAGAUCAAGAGUUACACACUCUACUGACCGAGCCAGCCUGGUGCCCCUCCCACUUAAAUUUCUAUCUGACUUUUAACUAUAAUUAACUGUCGCUUAAGUAGGUUAAUAGAAAAAGUGAGCCUUGGCAACUCCAAAUUAAACAAUACUCAACCUUAGAUUAUUGGAGGGGUGAAUUUCUCAUGGUUAAGAUGAGCUUCCCUCCUUGGUGGGGCUCGGUCAUUCUGCUGGAAUUUUAGGGGAUCCAAUAAACAGUACUGUUCUUCCCCCAGAUUCUAGACCAACCAAGAACCAUAAGAGUAAGACAUUGAGAUCAAAAUGGCAGCUUUCUAACUGCGAGAGCCAUUGGACAAUGUGGCUUGAUGUGUAGCCACAGUGGGCUUCCUCACGCUGAACCCCACACUGAGGCGCAGGGCAGCCCCAGACGACCACAGCCUUGCCCUGCCGGCACAGAACUGUCACUGCUGGUCUUCUGAGCCACGUGUGCCCAGCUCCUUGUUAGUCAAAGAAGUCCUCCCUCCUGCUUGAGGAGCGAGGGGAUGGAGAGAGGCCAGAAGUGUUCUCAGGCUUGUCCCUCUACCUGGAAGGCAGUAUCAAGAAGAAAAAGGUGGCUUUUUAGUACUGAUUGCCAGCCCACAGGUGGGUGGGAGGAGAGGAGCCAAGCUCGGGGGCAGAGCCUCUGAGGAGUGGGGAGAGGAAGAAAUGGGUCUGGACCUUGCCCACUGGACCUUCCCUUUCUUCAGUCUUCUUCCACACGACCUUCUUGUUUAGAAGCUGGGGGAGGGAGGGAGAUCUGCAAGUCUGCUGUCUUAACCAGGGUUCAGCCAUAGUCCAAUGCUUGGUUCCUGGUUAAUGGAAAGCUGACUGUGUUCUAUCUGUCGUCAUCAAGAAAUUGUUUCUCAGCGUCCAGGAGGGGACUCUUUCACGUUGUUUGCGUUCUUCUGAGCUCAGAAAGCAGGUCACAUUUGCAGUUUCAUCUCAUUCUUUCAGAUCUUGAAACAAAGACACAGGACAAGGAGAAUUCAAGCCAGGACAUGUCAGAGGAAGCAGAGCUCUGGGGGGCGCUAUUAGAGAGACCCAAAGCGGCUGCUUCCCCGGCUCUUGAUUGGAGGACAGACUGGGAAGGCAAACAUGGGGCGGAGAGGCGGUGGGAAGUACCCUUAGAAGAUGGACAAGAAGCACGCUCCCCUCCAGAAGGAGACGUAGGUAAAUUGAUAGGCCCUCAGGGAACCUACAUAGGAGGAAAGUCCCAUCUCUGCUGUGCAUGUGGAAAACAACAUGGCAGCCAGGGCUCACGCUUUGCUGUGCACAGAUUAGCCCACACUGGGGAAAAGACACCUUCUAAGUGUGGCCGUUGUGGGAGAAGCUUUGGCCGAAGCUCACAUCUGGUUUGCCACCAGAGAAUCCCCACCAGGGAAAGGCCCUACAAAUGCCCUGAAUAUGGGAAGGGCUUCAGUGAUCCUUCUAACCUCACAGCACAUCAGAGAGUCCACACUGGACAGAAGCCCUAUAAAUGUGGGGAGUGCUGGAAAAGCUUCAGCCAGAGCUCCAGCCUUACUAUGCACCAGAGAGUCCACACAGGGGAGAAACCCCAUAAGUGCAGGGAGUGUGGGAAAAGGUUCACCAAUAGCUUGCACUUCAGUGCGCACCGGCAAACACGCGGGCAAAAAACCCUACCAGUGCCCCGAGUGCGGGAAAAGGUUCAGCAAGAGUUCCACGCUCACCAGCCAUCGGAGGAUCCACACAGGAGAGAAACCCUAUGCAUGUCUCGAGUGUGGGAAGAGUUUCAGUGACCGCUCAAACCUCAUUACCCACCAGUGAAUUCACACUGGAGACAGACCCUAUGAAUGCAGGGAGUGUGGGAAAAGCUUCAGUCAGAGCUCCAGUCUCAUCAUCCACUGGAGAAUCCACACCGGAGAGAAACCCUACGAGUGUGCUGAAUGUGGGAGGCGAUUCAACAACAGCUCACAUUUUAGUGCGCUUUGGAGGUCCCAUGUGACAGAGGCUCGAAGUGUAGUAGGAAUGUCUUUAAAGCACCAAGUCUAAGAACACCGCAGAAUCCGUUCAAAAAUGGUUUGUACGGUCCUUGAUUCUAUACCAUGACACCCACACGAGAUGGAGAGAAAGAAUUUAGACCCGGUCCAAUAGAUGUUAUUUUUGUUUCUCUCUCUAAACACUCACUUGGCUAAUGAAAUACUCCUCAGGGCUUUUUUCUCCAUGCUGUUAAAAUGGGAGUUCCUGUGGAGAGAAUUGAGAGACUAGUUCUGAAUUUGACUGGAUCUCCAUCACAGUACGUCUCCACGAUGAUCCUGUGCCUUAAUUUCCACAGCUUGGUAUGCUGAGGGGGACAGUCCCGUCCCCGAGACCCUCCUCCGGGGACAGAAGCUUCUGCCCUGUGGCGCUGGGCAACUAGACAGGGAUUUAUGAAUUACAUACAGUUUUAAAGGUCUUCCAUGGUCCUCCCUAUGGGAGGACUAGGGCCCGGGAAUUGCCGACAUUUCUCCACGUUCCUUAAGAUUUACAUGGAGUUACUGGAGAGAAAGGCACUUGAUCGUGUCAUUUGGAGGGGGGGAAAAGGAGAAAAGGUCCACGCUGGAGGCUGGCUUUCUAAACCAUAACGUACUCUUCCUCUCAACAUACUAGGUUCAACCAUAUGAGAUAGCCAUUUUGAGCUCCCAAACCAGCAAUUUCAUGAUUCAACCUAAACAGACUUUUUGCAUAAUAGAAUUACUCCAGAUUCCCAGAAGAGCUGCUUAUAGAGCCUUACAGCUUCCACCGUGUCCUAAAAUGUAAGACUGGGUCUAGGAGAUCACAAACAGGCUAAUGUAAGCCUUGUCUAUAAUUUGUAAAUAUGUCCAGAGCAAUAACUACGAACCACAGCAUUGAUCAAGAAGACUCCCAGUCGGAGGAUCUGCCUGUCACCGGCCUCUGACAAACCCCUUUGUUCCUACGGGGGAGGCCAUGUGCAGGUUCACAGGUUUUUGAAGAUUUGGGGUGUCUCUGCGAGAGCAGAGCACAGUUCCUGGGGGCACUCUGACACCCACAGCAAAUGGUGCUUGGAAAUCAGUGGAAUACACUUUCUCCCUCUUAAAAUAGUUUCCUUUGGGGCAUCUGGGUGGCUGGCUCUGUUGGUUAAACAUCCGGCUCUUGAUGUCAGCUCAGGUCUCAAUCUCACGCUUGUGAGUUCAAGCCCCACAACAGGCUUUGAAAAAAAAAAAAGUUUCCUUUGUGCAUUUGACUUGAAAAUAUUUCCCCAGAACUUUCCAGAAACCCACCAAUUAUAAAACAAAGCACUGUCGACACAUGACAAUUUCAUAUAAUUAGAUUUAUAAAAUAUUAUGUAAUGAGUUUUUUUAAUGAACACCAAAGAACUUAUUCAAAUAAGUGUUAUCUGUCAAAAGCAGUCAUUCUGAUGGGCUGUGGGCUUUACAUGUUGUUACCAUUAUUGAAGACACUGAGUUUUCCUGUAAGAAUUAUCUUCAAACCACCUUAGAAGGCCCCCUAUCAGCGUAUUUCCGGCACAGAGUAGUGUCCUGCACAUAAGCAAGGCUUAAUAAACACUGACAGAACGAGCUU
Molecule: long non-coding RNA, 6989 nt
Organism: Callorhinus ursinus (northern fur seal)
Lineage: Eukaryota; Metazoa; Chordata; Mammalia; Carnivora; Otariidae
Source: RefSeq, a predicted model, not a curated record